This 261-nucleotide ribosomal RNA is filed under the name uncultured bacterium. RNAcentral describes it as "partial small subunit ribosomal RNA". It matches the Rfam family "Bacterial small subunit ribosomal RNA", at positions 26 to 285 of the family's 1533-position model. The record is from RNAcentral.
AGGACGAACGCUGGCGGCGUGCUUAACACAUGCAAGUCGAGCGAGGCCCCUUCCUUCGGGAGGGGAGCCCUAGCGGCGAACGGGUGAGUAACACGUGGGCAAUCUGCCCUAGCACUGGGAUAACUUCGGGAAACCGGAGCUAAUACCGGAUAUGACACAUGGUCGCAUGGUCUGUGUGUGGAAAGAUUUAUCGGUCAGGGAUGAGCUCGCGGCCUAUCAGCUUGUUGGUGGGGUAAUGGCCCACCAAGGCGACGACGGGUA